UGGAUAACCGUGACAAAUUACAGCUAAUACAUGCAGUCAGACCUGGUCCAAGGGUCGUAAUUAUUAGUACUAAACUAUUUCCGCAAGGAUUGUGAUGAAUCAUAGUAAUCGAACGAAUCGCAGGUAUAUGCGAUAAAUCAUUCAAGUUUCUGCCCUAUCAGCUUUGGAUGGUAGUGUAUUGGACUACCAUGGCAGUCACGGGUAACGGAGAAUUAGGGUUCGAUUCCGGAGAGGGAGCCUGAGAAACGGCUACCACAUCUACGGAAGGCAGCAGGCGCGCAAAUUGCCCAAUCCUGACACGGGGAGGCAGUGACAAGAAAUAACAACUCUAGGUUUUCUUAGAAGUGUAAUGAGGAUAAUUUACAAACCUUACCGAAUGCAAUUGGAGGGCAAGUCUGGUGCCAGCAGCCGCGGUAAUUCCAGCUCCAAUAGCGUAUAUUAAAGUUGUUGCAGUUAAAAAGCUCGUAGUUGAAGUUCUGAUUGUUCAGGUCUUCAGUCAUUAGACGGGGAUUCUGACAGUCAUCCGCUUGCAAACAUAUGUUUGAUUUUAACCGAUCAGCUAUGUGAGUAAGCAUUUUACCUUGAGAAAAACAGAGUGUUCCAGGCAGGUUUGUCCGGAAUGCAUUAGCAUGGAAUAAUAGAACAUGACUGGAGUCUAUUUAUUGGUUUAAGGCUUUAGUAAUGAUUAAUAGGAACAGUCGGGGGCAUUCGUACUCAGCAGUCAGAGGUGAAAUUCUAAGAUUUGCUGAAGACGAACUAAUGCGAAAGCAUUUGCCAAGGAUGUUUUCAUUAAUCAAGAACGAAAGUUAGGGGAUCAAAGACGAUCAGAUACCGUCCUAGUCUUAACUAUAAACGAUACCGACUCGGAUUCAGAUGAAUCAUAAAGUUCAUUUGGGACCGUAGGAGAAAUCAAAGUCUUUGGGUUCUGGGGGGAGUAUGGUCGCAAGGCUGAAACUUAAAGGAAUUGACGGUUUUGCACCACCAUGGAGUGGAGUUUGCGGCUUAAUUUGACUCAACACUGGGAAACUCAUCAGGGCAAGAAGAUUUUAGGAUUGACAGAUUGAGAGUUCUUUCUUGAUUGGUCUAGUGGUGGUGCAUGGCCGUUCUUAGUUGGUGGAGUGAUUUGUCUGGUUAAUUCCGUUAACGAACGAGACCUUAACCUGCUAACUAGUGUUUCGAUUCAUAAUCGAAAGCACUUCUUAGAGGGACUAUGUGAUGUAAUCACAUGGAAGUUUGAGGCAAUAACAGGUCUGUGAUGCCCUUAGAUGUCCUGAGCUGCACGCGUACUACAAUGGCACUUUCAACGAGUUUUUCCUGAUCCGAAAGGAUUUGGGUAAUCUUUUUAGUGAGUGCCGUGCUUGGGAUUGAUCUUUGUAAUUGUGGAUCAUGAACUAGGAAUUCCUAGUAAGCGCGAGUCAUCAGCUCGUGCUGAUUACGUCCCUGCAAAAUGUACACACCGCCC
Molecule: ribosomal RNA, 1462 nt
Filed under: Epicarchesium pectinatum
Lineage: Eukaryota; Ciliophora; Oligohymenophorea; Sessilida; Vorticellidae
Description: SSU rRNA
Rfam family: Eukaryotic small subunit ribosomal RNA
Source: RNAcentral